RNAcentral lists this long non-coding RNA (1601 nucleotides) under Arachis ipaensis. RNAcentral describes it as "long non-coding RNA (AIPA_LNC002456)". Lineage: Eukaryota; Viridiplantae; Streptophyta; Magnoliopsida; Fabales; Fabaceae. The record is from RNAcentral.
AAUAAACUCUUGUAACUAAGUUGCUCUUCUUAACAUCGUUUACCUUGCUUCAAUUUGACCAUACUAGCAUCAACAAUUUGACCACUCCUUGACACCCAUUUACUGGCUUCAAUUUGACCAUACUAGCAUCACAAACAGGUAUACUCCAGUUGCUCUUCUUAACAUCAUUUACCUUGCUGCGAGUAUAUGAAUUUUCAUAAUAUAAUAACUGCUUAAGUUGUAAAACAUCUCUACCCACCUCGUACUUUUGUGUGUCCAUUCAUCAUCUGCAUCUGCUUCAUCACUAGAACUCCCCGCGAGAAAAAAUCAUCUUCACUCAGAUCCAAAAGGCCAUCAUCCUCACUGCCAGUCUCUGUUACAAAAACCAAAAGAAGAUGAAUCGUACAGAGAUACCAAAUAAUGCAACACAAAUACAAACAACAACAUGCAAAGUUUAGUGCUACACGUCCAUGUUCCAACUUCAAUUUGAAUACUUGUGCACUUGAAUUUUACUUAAAUGAGCUUUAUAUAUAUAGAUUGGUGAAUCUCAAACUUGCUCUGCUGAAAAUGUCAGUAAAUGUGACAAAACUAGCACAGGUAUUUCUAUUCAAAAUUCUGGAAUUUCUUGCUUAAUUGAUAAAAAUAAUGUCCAAUAUAAAUUACUUAAUCUUCUCUUUGUUCCUCAAAUUACUCAAAACUUAUUAAGUGUGUCAAAAUUACUCAAAACUUAUUAAUGGUGUCAAAACUCAUCUAGCAUGACUAGAGAUUCUAUUUGUAAUCAGUUUACUGCACAAACACAAACUAAAUUAAGAAAUGAAAAUACCGAAUGCAUAAAUUAUGUAUAUAUAAUUAAAAAUUAUUAUUUAAUUAUAUAUAAUUGAAAAUCUAGAUUGAUUAUAAUAAGAAAAGGAACAAGAAGAAAAAGAACAAAAGAUGUGGAUCGGAGGAAUACAAGAAUGAAAAAUAAAAGAGCACAUCCCUGUUGACAAAAAUAAAGAAAGGUGCAUCACAUUAAAACUAAAUAAAUAAAGAAAGGUGUACAUGUUCAUAUAUAGUCCAACAGUUAUGCAUAAGUAAUAAAUACUAAGCAAGCAUAAAUUCACGAGAAGAGAAUAUAAUCUAAAGGCAUGAAGUCGUAAACAUAAAUAGCCUAAAUUCUAAUAAUAUACUAAUCUAUUGCUCAUUAUUUUCUUCAAUGUAAACUUGAUCAGUAGUGGGGCAUAUUUCUCUUCCUCUUUUUCUCUUUUUUUCCCACACACUUUUUUUACACUCAUACCAACCAUUGCCAAAUGUGUCAUUCCAAAUCAAUAUCCCAUUUUUGAGACUUUUCAUCAAACAUCUUACGUGCAUCAUUUCAAAUACUUUGAUUAAAUAAAAAAUUCAUCAUAGCAACUAAAUAAAUCAAAAUCAAAGGCAAACGCUAGCUUAAUCCCAAAUCGAAAAUGAAAUUAAACAGCAAUUAAACUAAUACAAUAUGAAAAUUAUAUUGUAAUAAUGUAAUUUCAUUAUAUUAAAAACUAGAAGAAAAUAUAGUAGAAAAUUCAAAUACUCACCAUCGAUGUUAGGUUUGAAGAGAAGAAAAAGUCGUUGAAGGAUGAUUAGGGUUUAUCCUUGUAAAAGAG